Molecule: ribosomal RNA, 253 nt
Filed under: uncultured bacterium
Lineage: Bacteria
Description: partial 16S ribosomal RNA
Rfam family: Bacterial small subunit ribosomal RNA
Source: RNAcentral
UACGAAGGGGGCUAGCGUUGCUCGGAAUCACUGGGCGUAAAGGGUGCGUAGGCGGGUCUUUAAGUCAGGGGUGAAAUCCUGGAGCUCAACUCCAGAACUGCCUUUGAUACUGAAGAUCUUGAGUUCGGGAGAGGUGAGUGGAACUGCGAGUGUAGAGGUGAAAUUCGUAGAUAUUCGCAAGAACACCAGUGGCGAAGGCGGCUCACUGGCCCGAUACUGACGUUGAGGCACGAAAGCGUGGGGAGCAAACAGG